ACCGCUGUCUCCCCAUUCGGGUACAAUCCUGGCUUCUAUGUGUUUAGCGACUGGAUGAGCUGAAUGCAGAAAACUGAAGCCGUCAAAACUAUACUGUGUGAAAUAUCUCUUGGUCUCCGGAAAAAGAUAUUUCUUCUUUUGCUGAUGGCUAAUAAUUACAUGACAAAAAUGGCAUUAGAGGACGACAGAAACAAAUUGUUGCUACGCUUUGUAAUGUUGCCUGAUAGACGUGAAGUUUAUGAACCUCUUUAGCAAAUGGAUUUGCAAACAACAUCUGGGAGAGAAGAAUUUCAUCAAGAUUGAUUUAUAUGAAAAUACUGGACACUACUGUGAGAACUGAAUUGAAGUUCAUGGCUGCAGUUAUAAUUCAGUGGCGGAGCAGUGGAUUACCCUGUACCUGGCAAAAUGGAGACAGAGACCGUGAGGAGAUACGCCAGCCAGUGAAUCCAGCUGUCUUCCCGGUCUGACCAUGGUGCUGUUGGCUACUGAUGUACAUGCAAUUGUUCUUUUAGGACUCUGUUCAACCCACAGAUGUCUCCACAGCUGCUCUCAAUUCCAAAAGGGAUUUUUUUUUCCUUAGAAGCAGUCAUGUAAGGUUUUUUGUUGUUUUGUUUUGUGUUUAUUUUCUUUGUAUUUAAGUCAUUGUAAAGAUUUUUCCCUCUGUUGGGAGAAGAAAACUAUCUUACCUGAAUGAUGGCCUGAAGAAUUGCAUCAUGAAAGAGCUAAGGAUAAAGCACGGUCUGUGUUUUUCUUCAUUCUUUGAAUCCUGCUAGAUGCUUCCCCUACUGGAGGCCCAAGAACUAUAAUCGCCUAAGAGUUGACUCUCCUGCUCCUAUUUCUAUGACUGUGUUGGUAUGGGGAGACAAGAUAACAACUGUCACAAUUCAUUCAGGGCAGAAAGAAACAAAUCGAUUAAAUAAAUGCCUAGGAUAGGCAAAAUUAUCAACUUGAGAAUAGCCCUCAGGAGGCUUAUGGGAAGCAAAUGAUUCAGACUGCUGCCUAUAUUAUCUGCAUCCCCUAGGUCUUUGAACUUACUAAUUUUCUUUGUGUAGUGGAGAUGACCACAUAAUUCACUAGAGUGAAACUGGGGUUAUGCCCAUUAGGUUUUUGUCUGCAUUACUCUAGAAAUCUCUAAUUAUAUAAUUAUAAGUAAUAUAUAAUUAUAUAAUUAAAAAUAGGGGAAGGCCUUUCCUUCAAAUAUCACCAAUGUAUUUAGCAUCACUGAAUAUUCAAAACUGUAAGUGACCUUACAGACAGCUAGGGUCAUUUCCCCCAUUUUAUAAAUUACACAGUGACAAUCAGGACCCUAACAUGACAGGAAAUAUGGAACCAGUCUGAUGCUCUGGAAAAACUAGUUGCCCAAUAUCCUGAUAAAUAGAUCGCCAGCACCCUAUCCAUUGGCCCUCACUGGCUUAAGCACAUCAAAGUUAAAACUGCUAAAGAUCUCUGAUGUUAGCCCUUUAAAAGAAUGAGGAUUUAUUAUUACCUUCUUUACUUUUUUUGGUGUGUGCGUAUGGUUUCUGUUUGUUUUGGGAAGUGGUCAAAACACUUGUGUAGAUCAUGUGCCUGUACAAUGAAAUAGUCUACUCCUCUGUGGGAAUCAAUGUGAUAGUGAAGGUCUCUAUAAUUCAAAAUCAUAGGCAAAAGGCAUUUUAAAAAUAUAAAAUAAAAUUUGUAAGCCAGUGUUUUAAGAGUGGCUGUGUUGAAUAUUUCAUUCUGUUGGGACAAAAGCAAAAAAAAACAUGCAAAUUCCAGCCCCACAGAGAGCUUAUGCCUCAAUGUCUAAAGGUGGCAUUUAUAUUUCAUGCCAAGGGGCACUAUUGAAAUACUGAGGAUAGGUUAGAGGUACACUUUUAUUAUUAUAAUAAUAAAUAAAAAUACACAUUUUUGUAAGUACAGAAAAUCUCAAUUUAGACAUUCUAGUAUUGUCAGUUAUCCAUCUAUACUGCUGAGAGAUCAUGCAUCAGACUUAUCAAUGGUUCAUUCAGGAACUGUUAUUUCUAAUAUUUCAACUACAAACUUGUCUUUAAACUUAGAUCUUGUAUAAUACAAUUUAAAGUAUUCGAUAAUUUAAAUAGUGUAUGUAGUCUCAUCACAUACUAAGAAAGUUGUUUAUGUUGCUUUUGUUUUUUGUUUGUGGCUGUUGCUGUUAACAUACUAUCAUUUCAUUUGGUUGAGUUUCCUCAUCUGAAAUGACUUGGUUAUAAAGACUUGUGCAUUUUGAUUAGCAAUUUUGUAUAGUUGAUUUUAAGAGGUAGAGUUCCACAGAUGUGAAUAUAUAAUCUUAUAAAUUGAUCUUUCCUUAGGAUGAUAUAUGUUGCACUGAGAAAAAUAAACCAGUACAAUGAUUUUAUACUCCCAAUUAGACAUCGGAAUUAUAUGGUAUCCUUCACAAGGUAGCGUAAAACCAUUUUCGAUAGCUAUUACUCGGCAUGCUCUUUCACCAAGAUUAUUAUUGGAGCAGUUUUGUUAGGAAGCAUUUGUGUAACAUACCAUAUGCUGUAAACUAUUUUUUGAUUUAAACUAUAAGGGCUGAGUUUUCAAAGAGGAGAUUUUGGUGUGCAUAAACUUACACAUGCAAUUGCAUUUUUCCACAAUUACCUAGUCAUGCUAUAGACUGUCAACCACAGAAUUCAUUUGCUUCUUUUUUGAAAGAUUUGCUUUGCUUGCAAAGAUUUAGUUCAGUGACAUAUUUUUCUUCCUUCCUUUUUUUUCAACAAACAAAAGAAAUUUGUGACUGUAUUUCCUUACAUCACAUUUUAUAAAGUGCCAGACCUAAAAAGAUCCUCCUUUUCACUUUACCCUUGAAAAGGCUCCUAUUUCCAUAAAAUAUUCUUCUCUUUAAUUGAACAAUCAACUUUAGAAUGCUUUGCAGAAUUACUUAGAAAAAUAUCAUCAAUCGUUAGUCUUUAUACAUGUUAUAUAAAUUAUAGUAGUAUGUAUAUGUAGUGUAUAAUUUACAGAUGCAGAGAGUACAAAUAAGAAAAUAGCUAUAGUAGCAACCAUAAUAUCUUUUCAUAUUUAAACAUGAAGAAAAUGAGAUAAUAUAUGUACUGAUUUUGUGAAGUUGCAAUUUUCUGAAUUAGGAUAUCACAUUGUUCUUUGCUCUUGUUUGCUAUAGGUUCAUUAAAAGUUAGACAUUCGAGCAUUUCCAUGCCAUUCUUCUUCUUUUUUUUUAAUGACAAAUGCCCCCUCUGCCAACAACAACAACAAAAAUGUGUAACUUGGAUACCAGGUCCUUUUAAUGAAGCUUUUGAGUCUUACAAAAUAUGAUUAAUCUGAUUAGUGAUUCAGCCUCCUUUUAUGCUUACAUUAUCUAACACAAAGAGCCCCCCUACAGGUUAAAGUUUAAAUGUGGAUUACCAGAUAAAGCUAGUCCUGACGAGGUUUCUAUGGUGCAAGGAAAAAUUGGAUUUGCUUUUCACCUCAUCUCAGGCUCUGUCAUCCUGGUUUUUGCCCUGUUCCCUUGUUCACAGCAAGGAUAUUAAUUUUGUAGUAAAAUCUUUAAGCAAUUAUGCAGAUAGCUGUGAAAAAGCAACAUACACACACAAUAAGAGAAGCUUAACUGAAAAAUGGACCCCAGAUAUUCAUUAAAAACAGAUGGCUACAUUGCCAACAGCAUAACUUUGGAUGUUUGGGCUAAGCUGGUAUUAAUCUGCCACAACAGGAAGAGAAGAGGAAAUUGCUGGUGUACAAACUGUGUAUUGUUUCUACUCUUUGCUUACAAAGGAAUACAAUGAUGAUUUAUGGCUGUCUUCUUGAUAAAUGUCCAAAAAUGAAUUCCUUACUCGCAAGCAAAGUAACAUUGUAAUCCUCCUGGCUAUUACUAAAUGCUGAUGCUCAUUUUCAAGACACGAAUAAAAUAUAAAGAAUCGUAUUGGUGAAACAGAUGAAAGGGUUCCAUUUUGAAGUUGAUAUUAAGUAAUUUUGGUUUUAGACCUAUUGAAAUUGGAAAUCUUUUGAUCAGUAACAUUUCAAAGUCAAUAUAAAGCAUAACUUUGCAUUUAUAUAAUAGUUACAUUUCUGCCCAUUUAUUUGGGUUAUUUGCUAAGUGAAAAUUGUAACAUCUUCAGUCUAAACACAGGUAAAGUGAACAAAUUGGGUAAAGUACGGCAGAAAAAUAUUUGCCCAACUCUUCCAAGUAAAAGCACAGAUGAUGAAAGGUGCACUCUAUGCAACUGGGGCAAUUGUAAUAAUGGUAAAUGCAUAAAGUAUAUAUUUAUUCAUUUAUAUAAUUAUCAAAGCAAAUUUAGGUAAGAGUGUUAACACCUAAGACUAUAUAUAUGUCUUAAGUGGUAGAACAGUUACAAUGAAUUUCAACCAACUUUUGUUUGGGAGGAGAAAUUUAUCCAACUAGAGAAACGCUUUUGCGACAGGAAGGCUCAGAUAUUCUACAGGCUGAGUUAUACUCAGUUGGACCGUCCUGCAGACAGCCAGUGAUUGUUGGAUCUAAGGACUAGUUGAAACAUCUUGGCAUUAUUUUACUGCUUCAUCUACAUGUGAAGGCUGAACUGGGUUGAAAAUGGUGGUCGUUACAACUGAAGAGUUUGGGUUUUCCCCCAUUGAGUGCUAACUGUUAUUCCUUUUUAUGUACAUAAUACAUAUUUCUUAUAGAAAAAAUUAAACAGUUUUGCUAAAGAGAAGAAAGUUCGGAUCAUCCGUAAUCCUACCUCCUUGAGAUGACCAAUAUAUGUUUCUAUAUACACAGAUGUGUAUUUUUAAAGAGUUAGGAUCUUACAGGGUAUUUUGAAACCUGCUUCUAGUCUCCUAAUAAUCUAUCUAUCAACUGUCAACUAUAUACAGUUCAAUAUUCUACAACCUUAUUUUACUGAAUCCAUAGCAUUCCAUUGUAUGGAUAAUCCAAAAUUCAUUUUACCAACUCCCUAUUGGUAAUAAAGAGUUUAACAUUUUUGGUAUGAUUAAAAAUACCUCGAAGUUUGUUUAUUUAACUAAAAUUUGUAUACAGUGUGUGUUACCAACGAGUUAACCUUCUGGCAUUGUACCUCUUUUCACAUGUAAAUAAAAACUUGCUUGGGCAAAAGUAUAUGCCUGGAAAGAAGCAAAUUCAACAGGCCCUUUGGAUUAAUUCAUUUUAUUUUUCUUAAAGUGCAUUUACAGUCUGGGUAAAAUAUCUUGUUGCUAAUGGAAGCAAUCACAUUGUGUUAAUAACCCUAAACUAUCUUUUGAAUCUAAUCUAAUUUCCAUCAACUCUGCCUCGUUUUUCAAUCCUCUGUGUUUCAAACAUGCAGAUAGUUUGCUAUGCCUCCAGUGUACUAUCCUUAAAAACCAGCAGACUUUUAAAAAUGCAGUUCCUUAAAAAACGUUGAAAAUAAAUAAAUAAAUAAAUAAAUA
Long non-coding RNA from Felis catus (domestic cat), 5352 nucleotides. RefSeq lists it as uncharacterized. Lineage: Eukaryota; Metazoa; Chordata; Mammalia; Carnivora; Felidae. The record is from RefSeq and is a predicted model, not a curated record. The transcript has 5 exons.